UGAUCCAAAAGAUCAGAUCAGAUUGAUCUCGAGGCCUUAAAAAGGAGUGAUACCUGUUUGUGGUUUAUUGUGGCAUUUCUGGUGUUCAGGUCAGGAACUGGCCUUCUGUCCAGUAUUGCUUGUUUCUGGAUAAAGGAGUGGGACUGAAAUCUGUCUCUCUGACAGUUUAAUUUGGAGCUGUGCUUGGGAAGUAUCUGGUGACCCAUCUAUUAAAUCUUGUCCGGUUAGUCAAGAUUUUUAAAUAAUAUAAUUAGUGCUCAUAUGAAUAUUUUUUUUUUUGAAACCUGUAGAGUUGUGUAACAAUUACAUAAACUGACAGUACAUAAUUCCCAUUUAUCACUGUUGAAAACCCCCAAAAUCCUCAAAUGAACUGUUUCCCAAGGACCCCUCAUCCCAUCUGGGACAAAGCGUGGAUGUGGGAGAGUCCCAGUGCAGCUCUGGAGCUGGGGCAGAGGCGCCUGCUCACACUCCUGUGAUUGUUCUGCCACUUAUGUCAUCUUGGAGCAUUUGAACUCGAUUUGUUGAGGGCGUGGGGAUGGUUCUGAGUGAGCACAAUUACGAUUUCUCUGGGUGGAAAUAAGUGCAUUUGCUUUCUUUGUCUGUUGGGCUGAGAUUGAGCCGUUCCAACGGGGCCUGGUUAUCAGUGCGGGGCACUCGGGUUGCUCAGGGCAGGUCGACUUUUUUUUUUUUUUCCACUCUGCUUUUGGCUCCUUGGCAGGGCUGGAACAAAGAGGGGAUGUGUGGCCCUUGUGUCCUGCAGCACCACAAACAUGAGUAACCAGCAACAGAAAGAAAACAGCUGCCCUCCCGAAGGUUUUUUAAUCUCUUAAAAUUCGAGUUCUUAGUGCUCCAAACAACCACCUGCCUGGCACAGGGGGCAGAGCUCCAGAAGGGUGCACACUUGUCUCCCAACUUCCUGGUAUUUCCCUGUGGAUAAACUCCCUUGCCCUGGAGAGUGUGGUGGGGUGAUUCAUUUCUCUCACUGGCAACUACUCUGAGGAGUUUCUUGGUUGCAAAACAACUUAUCUGUAAAGAAUUUACAACCCAAGGUACACAGCUCUUUUAAAUAUCUUUUGCAGUCCCUUUCAUGUAUCUUAGGGUAUAUUUAGCAAUGUUUAACCUGUAUCUGUUGCUUUUUAUAGGUUGAUUAUGCAGUGUGUGCCAGCCUAAGGAAUGUAUAGUCUGAUCCUGCUGGCUGCCAGUUAAAGAUUAAUUGUGACACUCUUUGUGUGUAAUCCUUGAAAAAUGAAGCUUGAUGGGUGUAGUAUUUGUGCUCAGUGUCUCCUGGGGAGAGGGGAAGUUGUCCAGGAUAAAUAAUACAUGGUUGUGUUAUCCUGUGUUGUAACUUGCAUUUCAGGCACAUGAAAUUAAACCUGAAUUUGCAUUUCCAGCCAGUGAAAAUUAAACCUGAAUUUGCGUUUCCAGCAAGUGAAAUUAAACCUGAAUUUGCAUUUCCAGCAAGUGAAAAUUAAACCUGAAUUUGCACUUCCAGCAAGUGAAAUUAAACCUGAAUUUGCAUUUCCAGCAAGUGAAAAUUAAACCUGAAUUUGCACUUCCAGCAAGUGAAAUUAAACCUGCUUUUAAGAGUUAAAGGUACCGAGCUGAGUGUUCAAAUCUGGUGCUUCAAAGCCAACGCCUCAGGGCUCUCCUUGUGCCACCAGCUCAAAAAUAGGGGUGUCUUGCCUUUCUCCCCCCUCAGAAGGGCUCUUCCAGCCCUGUAAUUCCCAAGGCUGGGAGGUUGCAGUGCUCAUGUACAAAGGGAUUUACUUGGCUGUGUGAAUUUGACACCUCUGCACCACGUGUGAGAGCCACACAGGGGCUGGAUGCUCUUUGGAAUGAAGGGAAUUUUUUCCAGUGGGCCAAUCAGUCCUGGCGUUGCUAAUUUUACCCCUCAGCUCCCAGAAAUUUGCUGGAGAUGCAGAUUAAUAAAAUCUCUUCUCUCAGGUUUAAAUUCUUAAACAGAUACACCCUGGAACACAAUUUUAGUUGUCUAUUUUUAGAGAGUAAACUGCUAAAAACACACGUGCUUGUUACAAUGCUGCUUUUAGGAAAGGGCUGUGGGGCUGUGUGUCAAGAAUUGAAUUAUCUGGUCAUGUUUGUGGCCCUGCAGAAUUAGUUUUGACUCCGGGAGAUCUCUUUGGAUGCACCUCAUCCUGUAUUUCAGGCACAGUGCUCCACUGAAAGUUGUGUCCUCGGAAGAGGCUGUUUUUUAAAGAUCAAGCCUAUUGUUAAACCCACAUUGUCUGCAAUUUGGACAGCUCUUAAUGCAUCUUGAACUCCGAAUCCAGAGAGAUUUGGAUUUAUAGAUUGAAUAAAGGUCUCUAGACAUUUA
Molecule: long non-coding RNA, 2332 nt
Organism: Lepidothrix coronata (blue-crowned manakin)
Lineage: Eukaryota; Metazoa; Chordata; Aves; Passeriformes; Pipridae
Exons: 2
Source: RefSeq, a predicted model, not a curated record